AUUGAACGCUGGCGGCAUGCCUUACACAUGCAAGUCGAACGGUAACAGGUUAAGCUGACGAGUGGCGAACGGGGGAGUAAUGUAUCGGAACGUGCCCAGUCGUGGGGGAUAACUGCGCGAAAGAGCAGCUAAUACCGCAUACGACCUGAGGGGGAAAGCGGGGGAUCGCAAGACCUCGCGCGAUUGGAGCGGCCGAGAUCAGAUUAGGUAGUUGGUGAGGUAAAGGCUCACCAAGCCGACUAUCUGUAGCUGGUCUGUGAGGAGGACGAGCCACACUGGGAGUGGGACACGGCCCAGACUCCUACGGGACGCCGCAGUGGCGAAUUUGAGGCAAUGGGGGCAAGCAUGACCCAGCCAUGCCGCGUGCGAGGAGAAGGCCUUCGGGUUGUAAACCGCUUUUGUCAGUGAAGAACAGGUUCUGGCUAAUACCUGGGACUCGUGACGGUACCUGAUAAAUAAGCACCGGCUAACUACGUG
RNAcentral lists this ribosomal RNA (477 nucleotides) under uncultured bacterium. Its description in RNAcentral is "partial 16S ribosomal RNA". It matches the Rfam family "Bacterial small subunit ribosomal RNA", at positions 29 to 507 of the family's 1533-position model. The record is from RNAcentral.